UGAUUUUGAUUAAUAAAAAUAGAACUAAAGAAUAGAGAAAAGAAAUCUAAGUUUAAUGAGAACAGAACUAAAGAACAGAGAAAGAAGAAAUCUGGGUUACCUGCAACAAGAAAGAAUUACCAGAGAAUGAGAAGAAGGAAGAUAAAAAACAAAUCUCCAGUGCCGAUCAAGGAAAUCUCAAAGAACUAAACUUACUUGGGAAAACUCAGAUCACAAGUUACUGCUCUUCUCGUCCACGAGUCUUGUAUUUAAAACCCAAAUAUUCUGUUUUUUCCCAACUAUUUCCAACUGCCUCCUUUGGAAUCCAUAAUUUCAAUUUAUUCGGAUCCUCUAAUUUAAUCGGAUCCUUCAUUUAACUUAACAGAUAUCAUAUUACUUUCCUCUUUUUUUUUCUAGGUUGAUAAACAGACUCGUCUAGCCAGACGCCUUAGGGUUUCAAGCCCCCUCGUAGGAAUGACUGCUGCCAUUCCCCAAACUCGACUUGUGUGGUGCAGAAGCUCGACCAGACUCGAAUUACUCCGAAAAAUGAUUUGACCAGACUGCCCCAUCGGGUCGGUUAGCCUCGUCAGACUCAAACUCGAAUUCCCACAUGGUUCACCCGACUCAUAUCCCCGAAGGGUCACAUUAUCAGACUUAGCCUCUCAGCUCAGACUCAGACUUAGCCUCUUAGCCUAUGUAUAAAUCAUGUUGAACUUGCAUAAGACAUGCACAAGGAUUCAUAAUCAUGAUUAUCAUCAAAACACAUAAAAAUCAUAUGUGAAAACGUGUAUACAACUAUGUAUAAAUCACAGUCAAAAUAUAUACAAACAAUGAGACUGAACCUCAUAAUUAUUGUGACCGGCCAAAUGAAAAAUCGCAUUAGGUAAAUGAUUUUAAUUAGCUAAAUUUAAUUUAAUUUAAAAUUAUUCUAUUAUUUAAAUGAUUUUUUAUUAAUUUAAUAUUAGUCGUCAAUAAAAAUACAGUUUACACUAGCGUGAGAACGGGGUAGGGCAGAUAUUCUGCCCCUUUUUUCCCCUUGUACCCUGCUGUCCGGUCAUAUUCCGGGGUGAGUCUCGAGGCAGGGCGAAACCCGCGCGGGUCGCCCCGGUUUAAAAAUAAUAAUUUUUAUUUUUUUUUAAUAAAUUAAAUUAUAUUAGAAAUAGGAUUAUUAAGAUUAAAAAUUUAUUAUAUUUUUAAGCUUAAGUCUUAGGUCUUAAACCUUAUGUCCAUUUUAUAUUUAUUUUUUGUUUUUGCUUUUAAAAAUUAGGGUAAAAAGUUUACCCAUUUUAAAUUUUAGGUUUACUUUUUUAGUUAUUUUUUUAUAAUUUUUUUAAUUCCAGCCGGGUCGCUUCGGAUCCGUCCCGUUCCGCGUCCCAGUCAUCGGAUCCAGGGCAGGAACCGGAGCAGGGGAUCAAGGUACCUGACCUACCUCGUUCUGGCAAAAUGACUAUUUAAAUAUUUAAUUAUUUUAAAAUUUAAUUGAUUUAAACGAUUAUUGAAGCUCGAAGUUCUUAUAUAGCAUGUAUAAUUUGAAAUAUUAUAAUUACAUAAGAUGGUAAUAGAAUAAUCCCACAUUGUAAAAAUGUAAAAGUGCUUCCAUAGUUCAAAUUUUUGGAAGGACAUCCAUAGUUCUUUUAAACAUGGCUAUUGUUUUCCCAUGGAUAUGAACAAUUUCUGGAAGGGCUUCCUAAAAUCAAGGGUAAAAGCCUUAAAAAAAACAUAAAUUAAAAAUUUUGAUUUUCAUUUUGAUGGUGUGUGGGCUCGCGCUAGGGUGCUCACACACACAACUCUCUAGUAUUGCUCUCACUAAUAAUUGACCUCCUCCCUUGUUGCACAUAAGGAGGUAUUUAUAACCAAUUUCCCUGGGCCUAUUGAGACCAAUAGUCCUGUUCGGCCCAUGGUCCGUUUGAACGGGCCCUAGUACCAACAGUACUCCCCCCCGGCCGGGGGGGGUUAAAGGCCGCCCGACCCACCCAUCUACUCUCUUAAUGACGCUUCGUUUUUUGUGCCUCUCUCUUUCGCAUCUUAAUUUUUUCUCCAUAAAUAGCUGACUCCAUGUGCCCACUCUUUCAUCUCGCGAGAAAACGAUGAGCGCCCAAGAUCUUUUGGAGGAGUUCGACCGCGAAGUGAAACUCCAAAAUUCUGCGUGGACUGAGUGUCUGCUGCUGCCUGUCGGUGCCUUCCAAUCUGUUGCUGUAUCGAUGAGUUAGCGGCUCAACUCCGUCCUGAUCGACAUCCACCGCAGUCUCGCCCAGCUUCGCCAAGUUGACAUGCCCACAUCCUCUGGCGCGCCGGUCGCUUUCGUUGCCACUGCUUCUGCUGGCACCGUGACCUCGAGCUUCUGUUGCUCUAUGCACGACGCGACUGCCGCUGCUCUAGUUGUGGGCGGUGGCCGCCGUCGACGCUCUCGCAGUCGUCUCGGUUCACGUGGGUCCCCGUCCCUUACCGCUACUGAUUUGCGGCACCUUUUGUCGAGGCCGCCUAAGUCGGGCCACUAGGCCCGCGUUCACGCCAGAUGUGUGGGGCGCUUUUGUUCGAUCACUAUAUCGGACAGCGUCUCACCUAUUCCUGGGCCCCUGCAGGGUGCCGUCUGGUGCUAACUCCCUCCUCUUCCUUCUUUGGUAUGAGAUUACCUAGAGGGAGACUGUGUGGUUCCCCCGACUUGCUCCCACUACUCUUUUUUCUUUAAUGCACGCUUACAUUUUGACAUUAUUUUGUAACUUAUGGCAUGUACUUGUGGCUUUUGUUGUAAUUUUGUAUCGCGUUCGGGCUUGUAAUGAAUCUCAACACUUGAAAUUAUUUUGAUUACUUGCACUUUUAAAUUCUAAACGGCUUUUCUUCUUUAAUGCCUCUGUUCAUGCAGUUGACUUACCCUCACCGCCCAUUGUUGAUCUGGCCUGCGUCCUACUCGAGCUCCGCUCAUCCGUCGAUCCGCUCCCAAAAUCGUCCGAUGCCCUUCGGCACUCGGGCGACGCUCCUUCGGCCCUACGGUCCCUCUUCGGCCAGCCGGACUCGUCCGGCUUCGGGCCUGGUUCCCUUGUCGGGGCGUCGCCCAAAAUAAAUCCGCCUUGCGCUCAUCGUGACCCACCGUCGGACGAGCUCGCCGCCCCCUCAAGCCCUCUCACUCGGUAUCUCGGGUGGUCUGGGUGCUCUUCGGAUGUGACCCCAGGGCCGCGCCACUCGUGUCAUGUUUCAUCGUAUGCCUUGUUUUCGGACGCGCUGGGCUACGGGCCUGGUCGUGCCUUUAUCGGCCACCCUCGUGGGCCUAUAUCCCUAGAGAUAGUCAGGUAUUCGCGACUCUUCGUCUUCUGAACCACCGUCCUUAUAAAUACUACUUUCCUUCACCUCUUACUACUUUCCUUUUUUGCUUCUUUCUUCCUGCUUCCACUUUCUAAACUCCGACGAUUUCCUUACAGGCCUACAAUGUCUGAUCCCCACACUCCAGUUGCCUCGCCUGACGCCAUGGUCGACGACCUCUUUCACUGCGUGUUCCCUCCUGACGCGGAUACUAAGAACACGCUCUCCAAGGCUACCUCGUCGAUGUGUCAGGAGGCCCUCCGGGAGAUGUAUAAGUACAAGGACACCCCGAAAUACAAGUUGUCGGGGAAGCUUGUUGCCUCGUAUCUGCCGCCUGACCACGUCGCGGUCUACAUUCCCUAUGUGGACACUUGCAUGACAAUGCCGCUCUUUCCCUUCCUUCAAGCGGUCAUCAGUCACUGUAGGCUGUCGCUCUCGCAGUUUCUUCCGACCGUCGUGGAUCGUAUCCUCACCGUCAGCACCCUUUUUGCAAAAUGCGAUAUUGUGCCCACUGUCCCCUGUUCCUCAACUGGUUCCACAUCUACCCGAUGACUAUCGACCGGAACCGUGUCCUUGUUGCCUCUCGGCGGGCCCUUUUCGAGACUCUGCCUGAUCGCGCGCACGGGUGACGUGAUCAAUUCUUUUUCGUGGAGCUGGCUUUCCUCGGGCCCCUUGAACACGCUCCCGUAGGGUGGGAGUCAUUGGACACCCUGAAGGCUCACACUGGUAUCAUUCCUUUCCAUCGUCUGAGUGCCGCUGAACAGGCAGCGAACGACCUGCUUGUUGGGAUUUCUCGUUGUGGUCUUGUGAGGCCCGGCCGUCUCGGGCGUGAUUGGUCCAUUAAGGGGCAUUUGAGACCUGCUGGGGACCCCAGCGGCGAUGAGGUGGAGGAGGUCGCCUCCCCUCCCCGAAAGAAGAAGAAGACCCACGUUGUCCGCCUGGAGGAUACUCGCUCUUUGGAUUUGAGCGUCGGAAACUCCGGCGGUGAUAAUAUGGUCGAGCUCUCCCUUCGUAAUGUCCGUUCGGAGAAAAGGAAGAUCGAGGCGGCGAAGUAACCUGAGCCUGCUCUAGAGGCCCCGAGGAAAUUCGAGGAAGGAGAAGGCUCCAGGCACAACGUUUCUAACCCCGCCUACGACUUAGACGGGAGAUGCUGGCUCGCUAGGCGUUCAACGCCGACUUGGACUCAGCUCUUCUUGCGGGCAAGUAUCAAGCCGACCCCGCGCACGUUGACCCCUCUGCUUCCAUUCCUCAAAUGGUGGGGAUACUCCUGAAGGGCUUCAACCAUCUCCAGCCGUUUCUCCAGGACGAGCCAGAGUACAUGGACCUGUUCGCGCGCGACAUUUCGGCGCUUGACCGGGACCUUUACGUUGACAGCCUUCGUGGUGCUGCUCUUGCCUACGUGCGUCUUCAACGGGGCCUUGACUUGAAGGAGGAACACAACUGGCUCAAUGCGCAGGUCGCUUGUCUGUCAAGGAAGGUUUCUUUUGCUGCGGCUACGCGCGACCAGGCGGUGUCAGAGGCGUCGAAGGACGUGGAGGUCCACCGGGUUCGGUUGGAGCAGGUGUCCUGUGAAAAGGUCGUACUGGGUCAGAGUAUCGUUGACGUCAAGCAGCAGAUCCAGAGCUAUUCGUCCCAGCUGAAGUGAGAGGAGUCCCGUGCUGCCGAGGCCAACGAGACUCUCGCCCGGGUAACCAAGUGCGCGGAAAAGUUGGCCUAAGACGGCCGUGCCGAGACCAUUUCCUCCAUGUCCGACAAAUUCCAGGCCAAUUUUGCUGAGUCCCAGGACGAGGCUCGGCGCCGGAUCGUGGUCGAGAAGCGCGCGGGGUUCUGGAAGGGUUACGAGCAUUGUCACGCCAUGUGCAACCUUUCCUGUCCAGACCUUGAGGCCGUCGUUGUGCCCCGGACCCAGUCUGAGUGGGAGCACUGGCAAGCGGUUGAUGGGGCCGGUCCUCCCAAAUUGUAGCCUCCUACCUACGCGUGCGAGAGCGAAGAGGAGAACUUGGACGCUGACAUUCCCGACUAUGUUUCGCCGACUCCCCCGUCCUGACUGCCGUGAUUCCUUUUGUGUUAUUCCCUUUUUUCUUUAUUUUUUUUCGGACCUGUAAAUAAAAACACUUUUUUGUUUUCGCAUAUCGCUUUCGCAUUCUUACUUUUAUGCUUUUGGUCGGGGCGGCCUGGACGAACCGGCUGCCUUUUCCUGGCCUAUCGGCCUUAGGUGCAUCUGAGCGUCUUUGGCGACAGGCCCCUUUCAUAUUUUUCUCUUCGUAUUCUUAUGAUUUUCCAGCUGUCAAAGCGCUCCGAGGGAGGGGGGCGGCGAUGUCCUACGAUCGGCAGUCUCUCCCCAGGUGCUUGGGUGGCAGGUUCCUACUUCUUCCUUUUUUUCACUUAGUGUCGAGAAAAAGUUAUAAGAUCGGGACAAAAAUCGGGGUGGACCUUGAUUUCUUCGGCCAUGAAAGAAAAGGAGAAAACACAAGUAUUGGCUGUUUCUAGUUCGUCCCGGGCCAUGACGUCGCUUUCGGCCUUCAGCGCCUGUAUUUUUCGAGGUUGUCCACGUAUCAGGUCCUCUCUAUUACUUGCCCGUCCUCGUAACCGAGGCGUAAGAUGCGGGGCAGGACCUCGUCCAUGAUCACAUACGGGUCUUCCCACCUUGGCGACAACUUCCCCUUAGUUUUAUCUACGCCUUUUACUUUGGCAUUCCUCAGGACUAGGUCACCCGGUGCCAAGCUCUUCUCGGCCACCCUCUCGUUGUGGUACCUAGCCACCCUUCGUUUGUAUGUGAGGUCUCUGAGGGCGGCUUCCUCUCUUCGCUCCUCUCGGUACUCGCUUGCGAGGAGUAUUGCCCUGUCAUUUGCCCCCGGCUGGAAUAUAUCGCUCUAUCCUAUCCGUCGGCCAUACCAACUCCGUGGGGGCCACCGCCUCCAUCCCGAAUGCGAGGGUGAAUGGUGUCUGGCCCGUUGGCGUCCGAAUAAUUGUCCGGUAGGCCCACAUGGUUUCCGGAAUCUUGUCCGCCUAGGUCCCCGAGUAUUCACCCACCUUUCUUUUUAGAAUGCAUGGAUACGAUGGUGUGGUUUGUCACCUCUACUUGACCGUUCGAUUGUGGGUGGUAAAUCGGGGCGAAGCUCAGCUUGAUUCCGUUGUCCUCGCAUAAUUCCCUUAGCUUCUUUCCCGUGAACUACGUCCCGUUGUCCGUUAUUAUUUGGAUUGGGACCCCGAAACGGCACACGAUGCUCGUGAACAUGAAGUUCUCUACGUUUUUCUCAGUGAUCGCGCUGGUGGCCUCCGCCUCGGCCCACAUUGAUCCCGGUUGACGGAAGUGACUGGUGUACAGUCCUGUGUUAGGAAUGUUCUAUCUAAAUUUUAGGACAGAUGUAAAAUAAUUUAACAGUAAUCACUAACCAAUUACAUUAACCAUAAUUAAACUGAAAUCCAUAUCUAGCUUUAUAAGCUCGCAAGCCCGAGUUCAAGCUUGACCCAUAAUUGGACAAUGUUUGGGUUCACCAAGGAAAUUACAGGACCCAACCUAGACCUAUUAAAAUCCUGAAAUGCCUUUUUAUUAUUUUUUUUAAAACAAAUGGUACUUCUUACAUGAUUUUGAAAUGCUUACCGUCUAGUAAAAUAUGAGUAUAUAAUAAUAUAUUAUCGGAUAAAUCGCAGUCAAAAUAUAUACAAAAAAUGAGACUGGACCAUAUAAUUACUGUGACCGUUCAUAUGAACAAUCUCCUUACGUGUUUAUAAAUAACCAAGCGUCAAUAAUAGUCGCCAAAAAUGUUCAAUUUUAUGUAUUGUAUAGGGUUUAUAAAUUAACAAAAUUGAAUUGAAUUUGAAAAUUAUUCUAUUGUUUAAAUGAUUUUUGAUUAAUAAAUAUAGUUGUCAAUAAAAAUACAGUUUACACUCUAAAAGUUUAUUGUGUUUUAAAAUUUAAAUAUUUAAUUAUUUUAAAAUUUAAUUGAUUUAAACGAAUAUUGAAUCUCAAAGUUCUUAGCAUGUAUGAUUUGAAAUAUUAUAAUUAUAUAAGAUGGUAAUAGAAUAAUCCCACAUUGUAAAAAUGUAGAAGUGAGAUGGCAACAAUUUCCUAUAUAAAAAGAGAGGAACAGGCAUUCCCAUAGUUCAAAUUUUUGGAAGGACAUCCAUGGUUCCUUUAAACAUGGCAAUUGUUUUCCCAUCGAUAUGAACAAUUUCUGGAAGGGCUUCCUAAAAUCAAGGGUAAAGUCUUAAAAAAACAUAAAUUAAAAAUUUUGAAUUUCAUUUCUUCCCAUAUAUUAACAGUGCCAACAUGAUAUAGAUAUUCAGGUACGACCCUUGAAUGCGCAAUUGUACGUCAUCAAGUCAUGACCAGUAAUAUUUAAUCCAAUGUCUAAAAUAAUAUAAUGCACAGGACACUAACAUAUGUACGACAUAAAAUAAUAUACUGCAUAAGAUACUAACACAUGUACGACGCAAAAUCGAUCUAAUCGAUAUAGUCAACUUGGUACAUAUAGUAUUAGACAUAUAUCAACCAGGCGAACCCGGCUCCUUACGGCACACAAUUCGUUUAUGAUUAGCUUGGGCAUGUAGCAAUUUGAUGUAAGUAAAAGUUGUUAAACAUCUUCUGAAUUUAUAUAAAUAUAAUAACAGUAGAUGGAAUUAUUUAGGAUUGUGAGUUUGGAAUAAACUAUAUUACAGUUUGAAUUAUUUAGUCAAUAAUGAAAUUAAUUGUUUUGAUUUUUUUUUUAAAUUUCAUGACCUAUUUGCUUUUAAUGAUAAUUGAAACAUAUAUAACAUAAAAUUAAACCUGAAAAUAAACAUACGACAUACAAGCAAUAAUUUAGAGUAAUAUCAAUAGAGAGUAUGAUGAAUAGAACCAUAUGUCAAUAGAGAGUAAUACAAUGUUGCCAAAAUCGUAAUGAUAAGAUCAGUUACCUAUUUACAUAGUUACCUUCUCCAUUGUUGGAAAUUUUGAUAACUAAAUUUCACUAUUUUUCUAAUGUACUUGAAUUUAGAACUUUAGAUGCAGUUACUGCAUGUUGUUAAAAAAAUAAGAAGGGUUGCCUAAUUGCCUUUGGUUUCUUGUUUUAUUUUUAUAACUUUUUGUCAAGGGUAAUUGUCUAAUUCUCUAUAAUUGGUAUUUAGUUUUUCUGAAAAUGCUUUGUUUAAUAAUUACAUGAUUUAUAUCUAAAUAAAUAUGGAUAAUUAUACGUAGUUUAAUAAUCCAGUGAGGAGGAGAAUCCAGAAACAUUUUUGGAUAUGGUUCUCUAAUAUGGAUUCGGGUAUGUCAAUUCUGAACCCAAUAUCAAAUUGACAUUACAGAACAUCAGAAAAACUUAUUUUACAGGGAAAUGAUUGAAAAUCAAAAUUACAGUUCAAUUUCAGAGUUCAGACAAAAUUUCUUUUCGAAAUUUAUAAAAAUGCAAUCGGUAUCGGAAAGAGAAUCAGAUGCAGCAACUUUUGAAAUGAGAAACAAUAUGAAAACCCAUUUCGAAUAUAUAUCAAUUAAAUUAAAAAAAAAACUCUGAAAGUCUAGGGUCAGAUGUUGGAUCAAAAUUCUCACAAUUAUUGGGAUCUAUAGGAAUACAAACACGACCUGUAGUAAAGCAAAAAAACCAUCCAAAUCACAGUAAAAUUCUCUAUAUUCAGAAACAUAAAGACCCAUGAUUUAAGUAACAUAACUUUUGAUUAAAAUAGAACCCAUGAUUUAAAAUAGAACAAGUGCAGUACUUUAAACAACAGAACUUUAAAUACAUGAUUUUAAGCAGAGAAAUACCCAAUCAUAUUGGAGAAAUAUGAUUGGGCUUUAAACAGAGAAAUAUUUUAAAUGAGGAUUGUAUUGUGAAAAAUGUUGUGAUUGUGAUUAUGAUUUAGGGAGGAUUGUAUUGUGAAAUAUUUUUCACCAAGAACAUAAAACUAAACCGGAGGAUGUCAUAGAACUCACCAAAUCCUCACUGUCAUCACUGUCCUCACUGCGGAAGAUGAAGAACUCGAUCACUGUCCUCAUUGCGCCUGCCGGAAGAUGAAGAACUCGCGCGCGCCGGAAGAUGAAGAAGUCGCAGUCGCCGAUGCCGGAAUGGAAUGCAAGAAAUCAAUCGGAACGAUUGGAUUUGGGAGAAAUUGAAAAUCGGGAGGGGUUCGGGUUUAGAGAUUUGGGGAUUUUAAU
Molecule: long non-coding RNA, 9406 nt
Filed under: Zostera marina
Lineage: Eukaryota; Viridiplantae; Streptophyta; Magnoliopsida; Alismatales; Zosteraceae
Description: long non-coding RNA (ZMAR_LNC003413)
Source: RNAcentral